This 72-nucleotide transfer RNA is filed under the name Sediminivirga luteola. RNAcentral's name for it is "tRNA-Gly". It matches the Rfam family "tRNA". Rfam says of the family: Transfer RNA (tRNA) molecules are approximately 80 nucleotides in length. Their secondary structure includes four short double-helical elements and three loops (D, anti-codon, and T loops). Further hydrogen bonds mediate the characteristic L-shaped molecular structure. tRNAs have two regions of fundamental functional importance: the anti-codon, which is responsible for specific mRNA codon recognition, and the 3' end, to which the tRNAs corresponding amino acid is attached (by aminoacyl-tRNA synthetases). tRNAs cope with the degeneracy of the genetic code in two manners: having more than one tRNA (with a specific anti-codon) for a particular amino acid; and 'wobble' base-pairing, i.e. permitting non-standard base-pairing at the 3rd anti-codon position. The record is from RNAcentral. Lineage: Bacteria; Bacillati; Actinomycetota; Actinomycetes; Micrococcales; Brevibacteriaceae.
GGGGAUGUAGUUCAAUGGUAGAACUUCAGCUUCCCAAGCUGACGGCGCGGGUUCGAUUCCCGUCAUCCCCUC